CUCAGUUUCUUCAUGCAACUGGCUGCCUAUGAAAGAAAGAUCAUCGAAUCUCUUGUCAUUUGCUCAAAUCAAUCAUCCCUUAUUCCCCAUCUUGGGUGAAAUACUGAAAAUAGAAUGAGAUGCAGAACUUAAUGGCAUAGAAUUGUUGAUCAAACUGUCUCUUCCACCGACUGGCAUAAAUAGAACGUUCCAGGAAUCUAGAGUCACCACUCUUAAAUGUGAAGCGAAGGCCAAAGUCGCUAUCUGCAGAGAGUGCUGAAUAUAUAUAAUCAGGUGGGAAGGAUUUGGCAUGUGCGGGAAAACGUCGUCGGACCAUGGGGGAGGAAAUGGCGGGAUCAGCUGGGAUGAUGGAAUCUUCAAUGAUGUGAGAGAGAUCAAAGUUUUUAUGGCCAUUGCAUCGACUCCAUCCAGGUGGUGUAUGAUAAGAACACUAAGCCUUUCACAGCUGAUAAGCAUGAAGGUGUUCGAGGUGAUCAAAUUGCUCAGCCAAAAUACCCAGAAGAGUUCUUGAUCAGUGAGUGGUUUACAGCACCAGCCCUGGGGUCAGAUCACUGACGUUUAAGAGCAACAAGAGAACCUACGGUUCUGGAGUUGAAGAGACGUCAUUUGCUUUCUCAACGGAUGGAAGGCUAGUUCUUGGUUUCAAAGGAAGCAGUGGUUGGUAUCUUGAUUCAAUUGGCUUCCAUUUAUCCAAUAAUCAAUCAACAAGACUCCACAAGGUCCAGAAGAAGUUUCAGAAACUUUCAAGUAAGGCUUCAAAAUAGUCUGCUGCCAAGGAGACUCAGAAAAUCUCAGAUUUAACACACAGUAUGACUAAGACGUAUUAUGAACCGAUACUUAAAAGGGUGAACACUUGCAUGGAAUAUAUAUUUAAUUCAUACUGCAUAUAUUUUGAAUUUUUAGUUGUA
This is a long non-coding RNA of Mangifera indica (mango), 908 nucleotides long. RefSeq lists it as uncharacterized. The record is from RefSeq and is a predicted model, not a curated record. The transcript is spliced from 4 exons. Lineage: Eukaryota; Viridiplantae; Streptophyta; Magnoliopsida; Sapindales; Anacardiaceae.